GUCAACUUCCCUUUGUGCUGUAGCGAAGGGCUCUUCUUUUAAUUGCUUUCAGCACGCAGCACAAGGAUGGCUUUGUGAACCCCACUUUCCUGCACUGCAGGGACAGGUUUGAUAAGAAUAUGUCAAAAGAUGUGGACUCUGCAUUUUACAAAUGCAGACAGAAACUGGUGAACUUACUGAACACACGCAUCUAGAACUGAGUCGUGGCAUUCAGUGACCAUCUCGAGCAAGCCUUUGCUGGGCAGAGGGCAAUCUGUAUUCCCCUCUGAAGUCCAGAAGAGCUUUUACGGCAGCAGAGACAUGACUGUGACGAGAGCCUGGUGAGCCUGCCCAGAGAUUGUGGAGGGUUGAGGAGCGUGUCCAAUCCCACCGGAGCCCAGCACCCAGGACAGCCUGAUGGAUUCUCUCCCCUUUGCGCAUUUAUGUUUCCUGCUUCUGACCGUUUCAUCUCCCUUUCUAAAUACUGCCACGUCCAGUGGUGACUCUGCUGAGGGGACAAAAGGCUCUUCCUUUAGCAGCACAAAAGUGACAGCCUACGACUGCAAGCAUUGUGGUGUCAGCGUAUGCGAGUUAUCCAAUUUCAGUUGCUGUACCAUAAUUGGUGAAACACAAGACGAGACGUUUUCAAAUGAAGUAAUUCAGCUGGUGACCAAUGAAACGCACAUCACUAUGUGUUUUCAGCAAGCAAAUACUUUUUCGGAACAAAUUUACGCCAUCAUCUGGGCAAAAGCUGGGGGAAUAGGAGAUUCAUGUGGCAUCCUGAAGGCUGAAGCUUCCCCAGAGAAUAGGGGGGAAACAGUCGUUUCAGAGCAGAAGAAGACUUGCUGUACAGCACAGGUCCAGCUCGCAGUGCCCAGCACCCCCUUAAAUUGCUACGCUGACAAGGACAAAAGCCCCCAGCUCGGCAGCCCUGAGGAUGGAAAUGAUGUCGGUAAAAAUAAUGGAAUUGUUGAACAAUCACCACAUUCUCUCAGUGUUCAGCAAGACCAAUCUAUCAGCAUUACUUGCUCACUGAAAAGCUCACAUGAAGAAGAAGGGGUCUUCUUGCUCAGGACUCAUAUGAAAGCUGAUAUUUCUCAAAGCAAAAUAUUUCAACUAUCUUUCCUGCUUUUGCAAAUCGCUUGGAGUACUCAAAGCAAGAGAAGACAUUGGUGA
RNAcentral lists this long non-coding RNA (1155 nucleotides) under Struthio camelus australis. RNAcentral's name for it is "lncRNA (ENSSCUG00000002515.1)". The record is from RNAcentral. Lineage: Eukaryota; Metazoa; Chordata; Aves; Struthioniformes; Struthionidae.